GGGGAAUAUUGCACAAUGGGGGAAACCCUGAUGCAGCGACGCCGCGUGAGUGAAGAAGUGUUUCGGCACGUAAAGCUCUGUCAGCAGGGAAGAAAAUGACGGUACCUGACCAAGAAGCCCCGGCUAACUACGUGCCAGCAGCCGCGGUAAUACGUAGGGGGCAAGCGUUAUCCGGAUUUACUGGGUGUAAAGGGAGCGCAGACGGCAGCGCAAGUCCGGGGUGAAAGCCCGCGGCCCAACCGCGGGACUGCCCUGGAAACUGUGCGGCUGGAGUGCCGGAGAGGUAAGCGGAAUUCCUAGUGUAGCGGUGAAAUGCGUAGAUAUUAGGAGGAACACCGGUGGCGAAGGCGGCCAACUGGGCUUUAACUGACGCUGAGGCUCGAAAGUGUGGGGAGCAAACAG
RNAcentral lists this ribosomal RNA (402 nucleotides) under uncultured bacterium. RNAcentral's name for it is "bacterial SSU rRNA". It matches the Rfam family "Bacterial small subunit ribosomal RNA", at positions 356 to 775 of the family's 1533-position model. The record is from RNAcentral.